RNAcentral lists this ribosomal RNA (333 nucleotides) under Triticum aestivum (bread wheat). RNAcentral's name for it is "partial small subunit ribosomal RNA". Lineage: Eukaryota; Viridiplantae; Streptophyta; Magnoliopsida; Poales; Poaceae. The record is from RNAcentral.
AUGCCUGCAUCCCCAUCUAGUCUUGGUGGACCGGGAAGGGGGGGGGGAGGGACGACCUUGAUACUACCGACGGCCUUGCCGAGCAAGCGCGCACAAUGUCAUACUCGUUGUCGUGGAUGCUGGGCUAGCCGACCAUGUAGCAGUAUCACGAUAACCACUGAGGCCCACCGCACAUGCCGGGAGAAGGUACUCAUCGUCCGCAAGCACCGCUCGGACCAGCCAAACCCCAACUACCCGGACGUCAUCGACGGCGGCGGCGGCGGGGUAGGGGAGAAGGAGGUGGGGGGACGCAGCUCCGACAGCUUGGGUUUUCAGGGCAUGACCAAUGCAUAG